AAGAAGGAUCUGUAAAGCUCAGGAGGGAUAGCGCCAUAUAUAUACACACGAUCGAUCUCGCUAAUUUAGUACUUAAUCCAUGGCGCUAUCCAUCCUGAGUUUCACCGCUCCUUCUU
Molecule: non-coding RNA, 116 nt
Organism: Erythranthe guttata (spotted monkey flower)
Lineage: Eukaryota; Viridiplantae; Streptophyta; Magnoliopsida; Lamiales; Phrymaceae
Source: Rfam